ACAUAAAUACCCUAGGAUGUUGUUAAAAUGCCAAUUCACAUUCGGAAGUCUGUCUUGGGGCAUGAGAUGUUGCAUUUCUAGCAAACUCCUAAGUGAUGCUAAU
This 103-nucleotide microRNA precursor is filed under the name Marmota monax (woodchuck). The record is from RNAcentral. Lineage: Eukaryota; Metazoa; Chordata; Mammalia; Rodentia; Sciuridae.